GGGUUGUGAGGUUAAGCGACUAAGCGUACACGGUGGAUGCCCUGGCAGUCAGAGGCGAUGAAGGACGUGCUAAUCUGCGAUAAGCGCCGGUAAGGUGAUAUGAACCGUUAUAACCGGCGAUUUCCGAAUGGGGAAACCCAGUGUGAUUCGUCACACUAUCAUUAACUGAAUCCAUAGGUUAAUGAGGCGAACCGGGGGAACUGA
This 204-nucleotide ribosomal RNA is filed under the name Salmonella enterica subsp. enterica serovar Typhimurium. RNAcentral's name for it is "partial 23S ribosomal RNA". It matches the Rfam family "Bacterial large subunit ribosomal RNA", at positions 1 to 196 of the family's 2925-position model. Lineage: Bacteria; Pseudomonadati; Pseudomonadota; Gammaproteobacteria; Enterobacterales; Enterobacteriaceae. The record is from RNAcentral.